UCAGUCAUAUUGAAACUCAAGACAUAUCAGUUUGCAAUAAACCUACCAUUCUUGAACUCUUUUCUAUGACCAGAAAAAUAGAUCUUGACCCACUCAUACCCAAAGUGCACCCCACUUUAAACCGAAUGCAACCACUAAUGAUACCCUAAAGCACCUCUUAGUAACCACAUCAAUUCAUCAUGAGGCUGAUUUGAAUAUAAAUGUAUUCCGAGCACAAACGUUUCCCUGUUAACAAUUUCAAGUACUUUUAACUCUCUUUUCAAAGUUCUUUUCAUCUUUCCCUCACGGUACUUGUUCGCUAUCGGUCUCUUGUCGAUAUUUAGCUUUAGAUGAAAUUUACCACCCAUUUAGGGCUGCAUUCCCAAACAACCCGACUCUAAGACACAUGAAUACAAGUGAUACCAAACGCACCGAGCCAUGAACGGGAUUGUCACCCUCCAUGAUGCUAGUUUCCACCAGACUUUGACCCGAGCAGGUACCAGUAAUCAUUAGUCCAAAAACUACAAUUCCGAAUGCCCGAAGACACCCUGAUUUUAAAUUUGAGCUCUGCCCGCUUCACUCGCCGUUACUGAGGGCAUCCUAGUAGUCUUC
Molecule: ribosomal RNA, 591 nt
Filed under: uncultured zygomycete
Lineage: Eukaryota; Fungi
Description: partial 28S ribosomal RNA
Source: RNAcentral